AUUCCAGCUCCAAUAGCGUAUAUUAAAGUUGUUGCGGUUAAAGAGCUCGUAGUUGGAUUUCUGUUGAAGACCGGCGGUCCACCUUUUGGGUGAGUAUCUGCUUGGGCUUCGGCAUCUUCUCGGAAUACGUUGCUGCGCUUGAUUGCGUGGUUCGGAGUCCGGGACUUUUACUUUGAGGAAAUUAGAGUGUUCACGGCAGGCAUACGCCUUGAAUAUAUUAGCAUGGAAUAAUAAUAUAGGAUCUUGGUUCUAUUUUGUUGGUUUCUAGAGCUAAGAUAAUGAUUAAUAGGGACAAUUGGGGGCAUUCGUAUUAACGCGUCAGAGGUGAAAUUCUUGGAUUGCGUUACGACGAACUACUGCGAAAGCAUUUGCCAAGGAUGUUUUCAUUA
This 389-nucleotide ribosomal RNA is filed under the name Syndiniales sp. RNAcentral describes it as "partial small subunit ribosomal RNA". It matches the Rfam family "Eukaryotic small subunit ribosomal RNA", at positions 582 to 975 of the family's 1831-position model. The record is from RNAcentral. Lineage: Eukaryota; Dinophyceae; Syndiniales.